This 460-nucleotide ribosomal RNA is filed under the name uncultured bacterium. Its description in RNAcentral is "partial 16S ribosomal RNA". It matches the Rfam family "Bacterial small subunit ribosomal RNA", at positions 338 to 795 of the family's 1533-position model. The record is from RNAcentral.
CCUACGGGAGGCAGCAGUGAGGAAUAUUGGUCAAUGGGCUUACGCCUGAACCAGCCAAGUCGCGUGAGGGAAGACUGCCCUAUGGGUUGUAAACCUCUUUUGUCAGGGAGCAACGCCGGCUACGUGUAGCCGGACUGAGAGUACCUGGAGAAAAAGCAUCGGCUAACUCCGUGCCAGCAGCCGCGGUAAUACGGAGGAUGCGAGCGUUAUCCGGAUUUAUUGGGUUUAAAGGGUGCGUAGGCGGAAUGCCAAGUCAGCGGUAAAAUCGCGGGGCUCAACCUCGCUCCGCCGUUGAAACUGGCGUUCUUGAGUGGGCGAGAAGUAUGCGGAAUGCGUGGUGUAGCGGUGAAAUGCAUAGAUAUCACGCAGAACACCGAUUGCGAAGGCAGCAUACCGGCGCCCGACUGACGCUGAAGCACGAAAGCGUGGGGAUCGAACAGGAUUAGAUACCCCUGUAGUC